This 80-nucleotide non-coding RNA is filed under the name Halalkalibacter okhensis. RNAcentral's name for it is "Bacillus okhensis ZTP sequence". It matches the Rfam family "ZMP/ZTP riboswitch aptamer (pfl RNA motif)". Rfam says of the family: Previously known as pfl RNA. ZMP is also known as AICAR. The record is from Rfam by way of RNAcentral. Lineage: Bacteria; Bacillati; Bacillota; Bacilli; Caryophanales; Bacillaceae.
AAGGCUAUGUGUAACUGGCGAAACGCGGAUCACCGCGAGGGAGCACAUAGUAUCGUUAGCCGUUCGCCUGGGCAGAGGUA